Molecule: ribosomal RNA, 442 nt
Filed under: uncultured bacterium
Lineage: Bacteria
Description: partial 16S ribosomal RNA
Rfam family: Bacterial small subunit ribosomal RNA
Source: RNAcentral
CCUACGGGUGGCAGCAGUGGGGGAUAUUGCACAAUGGGGGAAACCCUGAUGCAGCGACGCCGCGUGGGGGAAGAAGGAUUUCGGGAUGUAAAGCCCUAGCAGCAGGGAAGAAGAAAGGACGGUACGGGAGGAAGAAGCAGCGGCUAAAGACGUGCCAGCAGCCGCGGUAAUACGUAUGGUGCAAGCGUUAUCCGGAUUUACUGGGUGUAAAGGGAGCGAAGGCGGCACGGCAAGCCUGAGGGGAAAGCCCGCGGCCCAACCGCGGGACUGCCUUGGGAACUACCGGGCUGGAGUGCCGGAGAGGUCGGCGGAAUUCCUAGUGUAGCGGUGAAAUGCGUAGAUAUUAGGAGGAACACCAGUCGCGAAGGCGGCCUACUGGACGGUGCCUGCCGCUCAUGCUCGACCGCGUGGGUAUCAAACAGGAUUAGAUACCCUAGUAGUC